Molecule: long non-coding RNA, 453 nt
Filed under: Homo sapiens (human)
Lineage: Eukaryota; Metazoa; Chordata; Mammalia; Primates; Hominidae
Description: long intergenic non-protein coding RNA 1339
Source: RNAcentral
GAGAAUUUUUGUCUUUAUAAGAAGAGGAAGAUCGACCAGAGCUCUCUCUCUCUUCUCUAGGCAUGUGCUCUGAGAAAAGGUCAUCUGAGGACAAAGUACCCGUCUGCAAGCCAGGAAGAGAGCCCUUGCCAGAAACUAAACCCCGCUGGAAACUUGAUUUUGCGCUUUCCAGCCUCUAGAACUAAUAUGUGAAAAACAUUUAAAUCAGAAAGUAAAUGACAGGAUGAUUUGCAAGACACAGGGAUGUAAAAUUAAAAAGCCUCUCGAGCUCCAAAGCUCAUCAGAGUACAUCGUUACAUUUUCGGGACUUUUGCUACCUGGCUCACAUCACUUUGGUAGCUUGAACUCUGCCAUGAUUGGGAAUAUUUACACCACAAAAAUGGGCUAAUCUCCUAGGAAUGGAUUCUAGGACGGCAUCAGCAUUGCCAUAAUAAAUACGCAUUUUAUGAUUAC